GCGGGUGUGGCUGAAGGGUUAGGCGGCGGCCUGCAAAGCCGUUUAUACGGGUUCGAGUCCCGUCACUCGCUCCA
RNAcentral lists this transfer RNA (74 nucleotides) under Mycolicibacterium brumae. RNAcentral's name for it is "tRNA-Cys". It matches the Rfam family "tRNA". Rfam says of the family: Transfer RNA (tRNA) molecules are approximately 80 nucleotides in length. Their secondary structure includes four short double-helical elements and three loops (D, anti-codon, and T loops). Further hydrogen bonds mediate the characteristic L-shaped molecular structure. tRNAs have two regions of fundamental functional importance: the anti-codon, which is responsible for specific mRNA codon recognition, and the 3' end, to which the tRNAs corresponding amino acid is attached (by aminoacyl-tRNA synthetases). tRNAs cope with the degeneracy of the genetic code in two manners: having more than one tRNA (with a specific anti-codon) for a particular amino acid; and 'wobble' base-pairing, i.e. permitting non-standard base-pairing at the 3rd anti-codon position. RNAcentral also lists the same sequence under 1 other name. The record is from RNAcentral. Lineage: Bacteria; Bacillati; Actinomycetota; Actinomycetes; Mycobacteriales; Mycobacteriaceae.